This 1382-nucleotide long non-coding RNA is filed under the name Pan troglodytes (chimpanzee). RNAcentral describes it as "long non-coding RNA NONPTRT003395". The record is from RNAcentral. Lineage: Eukaryota; Metazoa; Chordata; Mammalia; Primates; Hominidae.
AGGUUUUUUCCAGUCUUUGAAAAGCAUCCUUACCAAUCCCCUGUAUGUUAUAUUUCUGCUUUUGACAUUGUUACAAGUAAGCAGCUUUAUUGGUUCUUUUACUUACGUCUUUAAAUAUAUGGAGCAACAGUAUGGUCAGUCUGCAUCUCAUGCUAACUUUUUGUUGGGAAUCGUAACCAUUCCUACGGUUGCAACUGGAAUGUUUUUAGGAGGAUUUAUCAUUAAAAAAUUCAAAUUGCCUUUAGUUGGAAUUGCCAAAUUUUCAUUUCUUACUUCGAUGAUAUCCUUCUUGUUUCAACUUCUAUAUUUCCCUCUAAUCUGUGAAAGCAAAUCAGUUGCCGGCCUAACCUUGACCUAUGAUGGAAAUAAUUCAGUGGCAUCUCAUGUAGAUGUACCACUUUCUUAUUGCAACUCAGAGUGCAAUUGUGAUGAAAGUCAGUGGGAACCAGUCUGUGGGAACAAUGGAAUAACUUACCUGUCACCUUGUCUAGCAGGAUGCAAAUCCUCAAGUGGUAUUAAAAAGCAUACUGUGUUUUAUAACUGUAGUUGUGUGGAAGUAACUGGUCUCCAGAACAGAAAUUAUUCAGCGCACUUGGGUGAAUGCCCAAGAGAUAAUACUUGUACAAGGAAAUUUUUCAUCUAUGUUGCAAUUCAAAUCAUAAACUCUUUGUUCUCUGCAACAGGAGGUACCACAUUUAUCUUGUUGACUGUGAAUGGGCUUCAAAUAUUUUAAUACUGCAGCACCAAAUUCUUAGCUCUGACCACAGUGAGUACUGCUUCCCUGGUGUAUCUCUACACACUGGAUGAGAUGAUGAUAAAGCCUAGGGAUUGGGGAGCCACCAGUUGGAAAAAGACAAGAUCUCGGAAUGACUGCAUGGAGGAGAGCUGCCCACUUGCCCAGGAACUUUUAUGAGAGCAAGAAACCAACUUCUGGUGUGUUAAAAUUCUACCUUUAAAAACUGUUCCAGACCAGGCACAAUGACUCACGCCUAUAAUGCCAGCACUUUGAGAGACUGAGGUGGGUGGAUCACGAGGCCAAGAGAUCGAGACCACCCUGGCUAACACAGUGAAAUCCCAUCUCUACUAAAAAUACAAAAAAUUAGCUGGGCGUGGUGGCGGGCGCCUGUAGUCCCAGCUACUCAGGAGGCUGAGGCAGGAGAAUUGCUUGAACCGGGAUGCAGAAGUUGCAGUGAGCCAAGACUGUGUCACUGCACUCCAGCCUGGGCAACAGAGCGAGACUCUGUCUCAAAAAACAAAACAAAACAAAAACAAAAAACUGUUCCAAUGUAAUAAUUCAGCUGGGACAAAAUAUAUAUUCUGAUACUGAUGCAUCUGAGUUCUUAUCUCAAAUAGCAGAACACCUUGAUUCCUAGACAAUACAG